RNAcentral lists this ribosomal RNA (504 nucleotides) under uncultured bacterium. RNAcentral describes it as "partial 16S ribosomal RNA". It matches the Rfam family "Bacterial small subunit ribosomal RNA", at positions 30 to 523 of the family's 1533-position model. The record is from RNAcentral.
AUUGAACGCUGGCGGCAGGCCUAACACAUGCAAGUCGAACGGUAGCACAGAGAGCUUGCUCUCGGGUGACGAGUGGCGGACGGGUGAGUAACGUCUGGGAAACUGCCCGAUGGAGGGGGAUAACUACUGGAAACGGUAGCUAAUACCGCAUAACGUCGCAAGACCAAAGUGGGGGACCUUCGGGCCUCACACCAUCGGAUGUGCCCAGAUGGGAUUAGCUAGUAGGUGGGGUAAUGGUUCACCUAGGAGACGAUCCCUAGCUGGUCUGAGAGGAUGACCAGCCACACUGGAACUGAGAAACGGUCCAGACUCCUACGGGAGGCAGCAGUGGGGAAUAUUGCACAAUGGGCGCAAGCCUGAUGCAGCCAUGCCGCGUGUAUGAAGAAGGCCUUCGGGUUGUAAAGUACUUUCAGCGGGGAGGAAGGCGGUGAAGUUAAUAGCUUCACCGAUUGACGUUACCCGCAGAAGAAGCACCGGCUAACUCCGUGCCAGCAGCCGCCGUAA